AUUUGCAUUCGAUCUCUAAAAUAAGUCAUUAAGUACAUAUAUGCAAAUGCAGCUCUUUCAAAUCUGAAAAAUAUCCAAAAUCCAAAACACUUCUGGUCCCAAGCAUUUUGGAUAAACGACAAUCAACUUGUAUCUAAUAUGUUUACAAACAUUUUUUAUCUUUCUAUUGUUUUAAUUGUUUGUAUUUGUUCAUUGCCUCAGGAAUUCUUGUGAGCUGGGAAAUGAUACAAGAAUACUACAGAUGAAUAAAGCAAUCACCAACAUUAUAUAAAAGUAUCCUGAAGGAGAUUGAUUUAAAGAUAAAAUAUGGGAGGGAAUGAAAGAGAACUUGUUCUAGAAUUUCUAGAACUCUUGGCUUCUAUGAAGAUACAAUGGAAUCAUCCCAAGGGAAUCAUUCUCACUGGCCCAUGAUGGAAACUUGAUUAUGAAGAAAUGAUCACAGGUCUACACCCUUAAUGUGUAUACCAUCGUUAUGCUUAAGAGAACCUUCAAUUUUUGAAUAGAAUGCAAGAAAAGGGAAAAAAAUCCCUUAUCUUAAAAUGUGGCUAGAAGAAACUGUAAACCCGGAAUAAGGUUUGGCUGAAUAAAAACCUUAUACAAUUGCACAUACAUUGUUGUUCUAUGAAUAAAAAACUGCCAAAGCAA
Anolis carolinensis (green anole) is the source of this 645-nucleotide long non-coding RNA. RefSeq lists it as uncharacterized. The transcript is spliced from 2 exons. The record is from RefSeq and is a predicted model, not a curated record. Lineage: Eukaryota; Metazoa; Chordata; Lepidosauria; Squamata; Anolidae.